This 253-nucleotide ribosomal RNA is filed under the name uncultured bacterium. RNAcentral describes it as "partial 16S ribosomal RNA". It matches the Rfam family "Bacterial small subunit ribosomal RNA", at positions 524 to 776 of the family's 1533-position model. The record is from RNAcentral.
UACAGAGGGGGCGAGCGUUGUUCGGAAUUACUGGGCGUAAAGGGCGCGUAGGCGGCCUGCUAAGUCAUACGUGAAAUCCCUCGGCUCAACCGAGGAACUGCGUCUGAUACUGGUUGGCUUGAAUUCGGGAGAGGGAUGCGGAAUUCCAGGUGUAGCGGUGAAAUGCGUAGAUAUCUGGAGGAACACCGGUGGCGAAGGCGGCAUCCUGGACCGACACUGACGCUGAGGAGCGAAAGCCAGGGGAGCAAACGGG